Molecule: long non-coding RNA, 452 nt
Filed under: Oncorhynchus mykiss (rainbow trout)
Lineage: Eukaryota; Metazoa; Chordata; Actinopteri; Salmoniformes; Salmonidae
Description: lncRNA (ENSOMYG00000036988.2)
Source: RNAcentral
GAGAGAGUGAAGGAAGGAGUGAUAGAAAAGAGAAGUGGACUAGAUAGAUCUACUACAUCGAAGAACGAGCUAUUCAGUGGACGUUGGCGGCUUUGCUGUCACAGGAAAGGGAGGAGGGGAGGGGGGAACAAGGGAUCAUGCUGGUCACGGCGGGACGGUGGAGUGUGUGUGCAAGGGUGUAUCGUGGCGUCUGCUUCGUGCUGGAGGAGUGUGUUUGAGGAAGAGAAUUCCGGCGAUUCAGUGCCAUGCUAUGGACUAGGAGCCAGCUGGAGUCUUGCUGAAGACAUGGCCCAGGAGUGUUGGCGCAAUGAGACAACUACCAUGCUUCAAGGGGUGGCAACUGUCCGGCGCUACCUCCGGAUGUAGUGGUCGAGAUGUAGUAAGUAAGCAAGUUUACAUUUGAGUAAUAUCACAGAUUAUCCAUUAUAUUGACCAGAUACUCUAGUGGCCCA